Erinaceus europaeus (western European hedgehog) is the source of this 371-nucleotide long non-coding RNA. RefSeq lists it as uncharacterized. The record is from RefSeq and is a predicted model, not a curated record. The transcript is spliced from 3 exons. Lineage: Eukaryota; Metazoa; Chordata; Mammalia; Eulipotyphla; Erinaceidae.
CUUUUUAUUUUUAGUAAACCUUCCUUCUGUUGUACAGAUGAGGUUAGGGUUAUUGGGGACAGACAGACAAGAUCUGAAAAAAUAAACAAGCAAACAAUAGAUCAUCCAACUCCCCAAUCACCAGACUGGUUUUGAAAUUUAGGGAAGAUGAAGAUUCAGGCUAGAAAUAAUGGCUGAAUAUAAGGCCUGUAAGAAUGGCAACAGACACCAAGUUGUAGAUGCUACCAUGACACCAUCCUGACUCUCCCAGGGAAGACAACUUCACCAAUGUACCCUGGAACCCCAUCUCUUCAGAGCCCUGCCCCACUAGGGAAAGAUAGAAAUAGACUGGGAGUAUGGAUCAACCUUCCAAUGCCCAUGUUCAGAGGAGA